UACGAGGGGUGCAAACGUUAUUCGGAAUCACUGGGCGUAAAGGGUGCGUAGACGGUAAUAUAAGUCAAUUAUUAAAUCUCCUGGCUUAACUAGGAAUCUGUGAUUGAAACUAUGUUACUUGAGGAAGGAAGAGAGAAGUGGAAUUCUCGGAGUAGCGGUAAAAUGCUUAGAUCUCGAGAGGAACACCGAUGGCGAAGGCAGCUUCGUGGUCCAUUUCUGACGUUGAAGCACGAAAGCGUGGGGAGCAAACAGG
Molecule: ribosomal RNA, 253 nt
Filed under: uncultured bacterium
Lineage: Bacteria
Description: partial 16S ribosomal RNA
Rfam family: Bacterial small subunit ribosomal RNA
Source: RNAcentral